AUUGAACGCUGGCGGCAGGCCUAACACAUGCAAGUCGAGCGGAUGAAGGGAGCUUGCUCCUGGAUUCAGCGGCGGACGGGUGAGUAAUGCCUAGGAAUCUGCCUGGUAGUGGGGGAUAACGUCCGGAAACGGGCGCUAAUACCGCAUACGUCCUGAGGGAGAAAGUGGGGGAUCUUCGGACCUCACGCUAUCAGAUAAGCCUAGGUCGGAUUAGCUAGUUGGUGGGGUAAAGGCCUACCAAGGCGACGAUCCGUAACUGGUCUGAGAGGAUGAUCAGUCACACUGGAACUGAGACACGGUCCAGACUCCUACGGGAGGCAGCAGUGGGGAAUAUUGGACAAUGGGCGAAAGCCUGAUCCAGCCAUGCCGCGUGUGUGAAGAAGGUCUUCGGAUCGUAAAGCACUUUAAGUUGGGAGGAAGGGCAGUAAGUUAAUACCUUGCUGUUUUGACGUUACCAACAGAAUAAGCACCGGCUAACUUCGUG
RNAcentral lists this ribosomal RNA (484 nucleotides) under uncultured bacterium. Its description in RNAcentral is "partial 16S ribosomal RNA". It matches the Rfam family "Bacterial small subunit ribosomal RNA", at positions 30 to 507 of the family's 1533-position model. The record is from RNAcentral.